AUUGAACGCUGGCGGUAUGCUUAACACAUGCAAGUCGAACGGCAGCACAGACUGUAGCAAUACAGUUGGGUGGCGAGUGGCGGACGGGUGAGUAACGCGUGGGAAUCUGUCUUAAAGUGGGGGAUAACUCGAGGAAACUCGAGCUAAUACCGCAUAUCUAGCUUGCUAGAAAGGGGGCCUCUGUUUACAUGCUUUCGCUUUAAGGUGAGCCUGCGUCUGAUUAGCUAGUUGGUAGGGUAAAGGCCUACCAAGGCAAUGAUCAGUAGCUGUUCUGAGAGGAAGACCAGCCACACUGGGACUGAGACACGGCCCAGACUCCUACGGGAGGCAGCAGUGGGGAAUAUUGGACAAUGGGGGAAACCCUGAUCCAGCAAUACCGCGUGUGUGAAGAAGGCCUGCGGGUUGUAAAGCACUUUUAUUGGGGAGGAAAAGUUAAAAGCUAAUGCCUUUUAACCGUGACGCUACCCAAAGAAAAAGCACCGGCUAACUCUGUGCCAGCAGCCGCGGUAA
Molecule: ribosomal RNA, 510 nt
Filed under: uncultured bacterium
Lineage: Bacteria
Description: partial 16S ribosomal RNA
Rfam family: Bacterial small subunit ribosomal RNA
Source: RNAcentral